Cyanistes caeruleus (blue tit) is the source of this 1653-nucleotide long non-coding RNA. RefSeq lists it as uncharacterized. Lineage: Eukaryota; Metazoa; Chordata; Aves; Passeriformes; Paridae. The record is from RefSeq and is a predicted model, not a curated record.
GUUGCCCAGAGAUGGGUGCCUGGUGUUUGUCCUAAUCUUUACAGCUCCCCAUGAAACUGGAUCUCAGGUGGCAGUGAGGAAGAGGUGGUCAGCAGUGUGACAAGGACAGUAGAGUAGAGAAGUAGUGGCACUCGAUGGAAUGAGAGAGAGGAAAAGGUGUGAAAAAGCUGGCAUCAAUCACAGCUUCAGAGAGAUCAAAGCAAUCUGUUGUAAUGUGACCAGAGCAAAACCUUCUGAAAUGGACUUCUGAACACUCUCAGCUUUAAUUUUUGUUGGUAAAUAAGAAGAAAGGCAAGACUCUUCAUGCUUGCUGUUGGGGUGGGGGUGGAGGGGUUGAGAAAUAGGUACAAUAAGUAUUGAACUAUGUUUUGCCAGUUGUCCAGAUGCUGAUGCCAUUCUAGUGCAGGACUGCUUCAUUUAUGUCUCCAAAAGGUCUUAGUUUUCUUUUGAUGCUAUAAUUGAAGAAAAAGGAAAAGAGAGGGGAGGGAAAGCAGGGAAAAAACCCGACCACAGACACAAAGAAAAGGAGAGAGGUGGGAUCUGCACUGCCUGUUACUGCAGGGUCUCUUCAAAAUGCAGAAGGAAGCUUUGCAUAUGAGGAUUUCUGCAUUUCCCUACAGAGGAGGUCUUCUGCAGCGAUGAGCAACAUCCCUUCCUGCCAGCAUUCCUGAUCUGGGCUUGUGGGCAAAGGGCCAAAGCACACCAGAAUGUGGAGGAAGGGAGAACUGAAAGCUGGGUCUGAGUAUGAUCUCUCCUGCCAAGCUCAUUGAGCAUGUUAAGAAGAGAACAGCAUUUCAGGGCUGUGGGAGUCUUUCUGUGGAGGUGUCAAUACUACUUCAAGCAAGGCCCCCACAGGCUGAUGGCAAACUGGAGAGGGAACAAGAAUAAAGGCAUGGAGGUGUCACAGUUAUACUGGAGGCACUUAAUUACCUAGCAAUAUCAAAAGGAGGGAAUUGUGUUCAGAAGGCAGUAGCUGUGGCAAAGGAAUUUUGUAACAAAGCAAUUUCUGACUGGGAGGGGAAGAUGAAAAUACCUUCCUGUGGAUUUUAGUGGGAAGAUUCUGUGAGCUGCUCUUGGUAGUGAUUGCAGUGUUUCUGGCUCAUGCAGGUUGAGAACAAUGCACGUUGAGUCAUUGCAAAGCUGUACUUCUCAUGAGGAGCCUUGAUUAUAUAGCAGCUGACUCAGUUUCUAUGCUAUAAAUUGAUUACAGCUUAAAAGACUCAUAAAAAGUCAUGGGAUUUCUUAGGGUUUUUUUAUAAGGAUAUUCUCAAAUGAGUAUCACAUUUUUAAUAUAGUCAGUUGUUGACUAAUAUAUUGGUUUUAGAUGUGUAACUGCUCAUAGUUGUCCUAGAACUAUAUUCAGUUUAGGUAAUGAGGCUUGGAGACAGUGUUGCUUCAGAGGGAAAGGGGAAAGGAGUUCAUACCCUUCUGACACUUUGGUGCCAGUGAAUGUAAAUGGAUGGAAAGUGUGUAUGAGUUUGCUAAUGAUUCAUCUGCUCUUUUUUUGACCUGGCAAAAUUGCCAACUGAAACUGAAACCAUCUAGAAUAAGGUGAAAACAUUAAUUCCUUGUUUACUGUCAGUUAUGGGGGCCUGUAAUGUCCUUAUUGAAACAGUAUCAGUAAAAACAGCCUACAUUUGCUUAUGAGCAGAC